Molecule: non-coding RNA, 22 nt
Filed under: Gossypium hirsutum (cotton)
Lineage: Eukaryota; Viridiplantae; Streptophyta; Magnoliopsida; Malvales; Malvaceae
Also listed under: 1 other name
Source: RNAcentral
UGAAGCUGCCAGCAUGAUCUAU